GAAAUGCGAUAAGUAAUGUGAAUUGCAGUAUUCAGUGAAUCAUCGAAUCUUUGAACGCACAUUGCGCCCGCCAGAAUUCUGGCGGGCAUGCCUGUUCGAGCGUCAUUUCAACCCUCGAGCUCCCCUUUCGGGGGGAGCCCGGCGUUGGGGACCCGGCGCUAACAACGCCGGCCCCGAAAUGGAGUGGCGGCCCGUCCGCGGCGACCUCUGCGUAGUAACGACCACUCGCACCGGGACCCGGGCGCGGCCACGCCGUAAAACACCCCACCUUCCGAAUGUUGACCUCGAAUCAGGUAGGAAUACCCGCUGAACUUAAGC
Molecule: unclassified non-coding RNA, 318 nt
Filed under: plant metagenome
Description: partial contains 5.8S ribosomal RNA, internal transcribed spacer 2, and large subunit ribosomal RNA
Rfam family: 5.8S ribosomal RNA (bases 1-105)
Source: RNAcentral